GACGAACGCUGGCGGUGUGCUUAACACAUGCAAGUGGUGCGACGAACCAGAGCUUGCUCUGGGGCAAAGCCGCGAACGGGUGAGUAACACGUGGGUAAUCUACCCCGAUGACCGGGACAACCCGAGGAAACUCGGGCUAAUACCGGAUGUGGUGCGGAGACAUAAGUCUCUUCACUAAAGGUAGCUUCGGCUUCCGCAUUGGGAGGGGCCCGCGGCCCAUUAGCUUGUUGGUGGGGUCAAGGCCUACCAAGGCAACGAUGGGUAGCUGGUCUGAGAGGACGAUCAGCCACACUGGGACUGAGACACGGCCCAGACUCCUACGGGAGGCAGCAGUGGGGAAUCUUGCGCAAUGCGCGAAAGCGUGACGCAGCAACACCGCGUGAGGGAAGACGGCCUUAGGGUUGUAAACCUCUUUCAGAUGGGACGAAGGUUCUCCGGUGAAUAGCCGAGAGGAUUGACGGUACCGUCAGAAGAAGCUCCGGCUAACUACGUGCCAGCCGCCGCGGUAAGAC
This 512-nucleotide ribosomal RNA is filed under the name uncultured bacterium. RNAcentral's name for it is "bacterial SSU rRNA". It matches the Rfam family "Bacterial small subunit ribosomal RNA", at positions 28 to 526 of the family's 1533-position model. The record is from RNAcentral.